GGUUAAGCGACUAAGCGUACACGGUGGAUGCCCUGGCAGUCAGAGGCGAUGAAGGACGUGCUAAUCUGCGAUAAGCGUCGGUAAGGUGAUAUGAACCGUUAUAACCGGCGAUUUCCGAAUGGGGAAACCCAGUGUGUUUCGACACACUAUCAUUAACUGAAUCCAUAGGUUAAUGAGGCGAACCGGGGGAACUGAAACAUCUAAGUACCCCGAGGAAAAGAAAUCAACCGAGAUUCCCCCAGUAGCGGCGAGCGAACGGGGAGCAGCCCAGAGCCUGAAUCAGUGUGUGUGUUAGUGGAAGCGUCUGGAAAGGCGCGCGAUACAGGGUGACAGCCCCGUACACAAAAAUGCACAUGCUGUGAGCUCGAUGAGUAGGGCGGGACACGUGGUAUCCUGUCUGAAUAUGGGGGGACCAUCCUCCAAGGCUAAAUACUCCUGACUGACCGAUAGUGAACCAGUACCGUGAGGGAAAGGCGAAAAGAACCCCGGCGAGGGGAGUGAAAAAGAACCUGAAACCGUGUACGUACAAGCAGUGGGAGCACGCUUAGGCGUGUGACUGCGUACCUUUUGUAUAAUGGGUCAGCGACUUAUAUUCUGUAGCAAGGUUAACCGAAUAGGGGAGCCGAAGGGAAACCGAGUCUUAACUGGGCGUUAAGUUGCAGGGUAUAGACCCGAAACCCGGUGAUCUAGCCAUGGGCAGGUUGAAGGUUGGGUAACACUAACUGGAGGACCGAACCGACUAAUGUUGAAAAAUUAGCGGAUGACUUGUGGCUGGGGGUGAAAGGCCAAUCAAACCGGGAGAUAGCUGGUUCUCCCCGAAAGCUAUUUAGGUAGCGCCUCGUGAAUUCAUCUCCGGGGGUAGAGCACUGUUUCGGCAAGGGGGUCAUCCCGACUUACCAACCCGAUGCAAACUGCGAAUACCGGAGAAUGUUAUCACGGGAGACACACGGCGGGUGCUAACGUCCGUCGUGAAGAGGGAAACAACCCAGACCGCCAGCUAAGGUCCCAAAGUCAUGGUUAAGUGGGAAACGAUGUGGGAAGGCCCAGACAGCCAGGAUGUUGGCUUAGAAGCAGCCAUCAUUUAAAGAAAGCGUAAUAGCUCACUGGUCGAGUCGGCCUGCGCGGAAGAUGUAACGGGGCUAAACCAUGCACCGAAGCUGCGGCAGCGACACUAUGUGUUGUUGGGUAGGGGAGCGUUCUGUAAGCCUGUGAAGGUGUGCUGUGAGGCAUGCUGGAGGUAUCAGAAGUGCGAAUGCUGACAUAAGUAACGAUAAAGCGGGUGAAAAGCCCGCUCGCCGGAAGACCAAGGGUUCCUGUCCAACGUUAAUCGGGGCAGGGUGAGUCGACCCCUAAGGCGAGGCCGAAAGGCGUAGUCGAUGGGAAACAGGUUAAUAUUCCUGUACUUGGUGUUACUGCGAAGGGGGGACGGAGAAGGCUAUGUUGGCCGGGCGACGGUUGUCCCGGUUUAAGCGUGUAGGCUGGUUUUCCAGGCAAAUCCGGAAAAUCAAGGCUGAGGCGUGAUGACGAGGCACUACGGUGCUGAAGCAACAAAUGCCCUGCUUCCAGGAAAAGCCUCUAAGCAUCAGGUAACAUCAAAUCGUACCCCAAACCGACACAGGUGGUCAGGUAGAGAAUACCAAGGCGCUUGAGAGAACUCGGGUGAAGGAACUAGGCAAAAUGGUGCCGUAACUUCGGGAGAAGGCACGCUGAUAUGUAGGUGAGGUCCCUCGCGGAUGGAGCUGAAAUCAGUCGAAGAUACCAGCUGGCUGCAACUGUUUAUUAAAAACACAGCACUGUGCAAACACGAAAGUGGACGUAUACGGUGUGACGCCUGCCCGGUGCCGGAAGGUUAAUUGAUGGGGUUAGCGCAAGCGAAGCUCUUGAUCGAAGCCCCGGUAAACGGCGUACCGUAACUAUAACGGUCCUAAGGUAGCGAAAUUCCUUGUCGGGUAAGUUCCGACCUGCACGAAUGGCGUAAUGAUGGCUAGAGCUGUCUCCACCCGAGACUCAGUGAAAUUGAACUCGCUGUGAAGAUGCAGUGUACCCGCGGCAAGACGGAAAGACCCCGUGAACCUUUACUAUAGCUUGACACUGAACAUUGAGCCUUGAUGUGUAGGAUAGGUGGGAGGCUUUGAAGUGUGGACGCCAGUCUGCAUGGAGCCGACCUUGAAAUACCACCCUUUAAUGUUUGAUGUUCUAACGUAGGCUUUGAAGUGUGGACGCCAGUCUGCAUGGAGCCGACCUUGAAAUACCACCCUUUAAUGUUUGAUGUUCUAACGUUGACCCGUAAUCCGGGUUGCGGACAGUGUCUGGUGGGUAGUUUGACUGGGGCGGUCUCCUCCUAAAGAGUAACGGAGGAGCACGAAGGUUGGCUAAUCCUGGUCGGACAUCAGGAGGUUAGUGCAAUGGCAUAAGCCAGCUUGACUGCGAGCGUGACGGCGCGAGCAGGUGCGAAAGCAGGUCAUAGUGAUCCGGUGGUUCUGAAUGGAAGGGCCAUCGCUCAACGGAUAAAAGGUACUCCGGGGAUAACAGGCUGAUACCGCCCAAGAGUUCAUAUCGACGGCGGUGUUUGGCACCUCGAUGUCGGCUCAUCACAUCCUGGGGCUGAAGUAGGUCCCAAGGGUAUGGCUGUUCGCCAUUUAAAGUGGUACGCGAGCUGGGUUUAGAACGUCGUGAGACAGUUCGGUCCCUAUCUGCCGUGGGCGCUGGAGAACUGAGGGGGGCUGCUCCUAGUACGAGAGGACCGGAGUGGACGCAUCACUGGUGUUCGGGUUGUCAUGCCAAUGGCACUGCCCGGUAGCUAAAUGCGGAAGAGAUAAGUGCUGAAAGCAUCUAAGCACGAAACUUGCCCCGAGAUGAGUUCUCCCUGACCCUUUAAGGGUCCUGAAGGAACGUUGAAGACGACGACGUUGAUAGGCCGGGUGUGUAAGCGCAGCGAUGCGUUGAGCUAACCGGUACUAAUGAACCGUGAGGCUUAACCUU
This 2982-nucleotide ribosomal RNA is filed under the name Escherichia coli. RNAcentral describes it as "23S ribosomal RNA". It matches the Rfam family "Bacterial large subunit ribosomal RNA". The record is from RNAcentral. Lineage: Bacteria; Pseudomonadati; Pseudomonadota; Gammaproteobacteria; Enterobacterales; Enterobacteriaceae.